Molecule: ribosomal RNA, 384 nt
Filed under: Chrysochromulina sp.
Lineage: Eukaryota; Haptophyta; Prymnesiales; Chrysochromulinaceae
Description: partial small subunit ribosomal RNA
Rfam family: Eukaryotic small subunit ribosomal RNA
Source: RNAcentral
AGCUCCAAUAGCGUAUAUUAAAGUUGUUGCAGUUAGAACGCUCGUAGUCGGAUUUCGGGGCGGGUCGACCGGUCUGCCGAUGGGUACGCACUGGCCGACGCGUCCUUCCUUCCGGAGACCGUCCCUACUCUUAACUGAGCGGGGGCGGGAGACGGAACGUUUACUUUGAAAAAAUCAGAGUGUUUCAAGCAGGCAUCUCGCUCUUGCAUGGAUUAGCAUGGGAUAAUGAAAUAGGACUUUGGUGCUAUUUUGUUGGUUUCGAACACCGAAGUAAUGAUGAGAAGGGACAGUCAGGGGCACUCGUAUUCCGCCGAGAGAGGUGAAAUUCUCAGACCAGCGGAAGACGAACCACUGCGAAAGCAUUUGCCAGGGAUGUUUUCACUG